GACGAACGCUGGCGGCGUGCUUAACACAUGCAAGUCGAACGGAAAGGCCCUGCUUUUGUGGGGUGCUCGAGUGGCGAACGGGUGAGUAACACGUGAGUAACCUGUCCUUGACUUUGGGAUAACUUCAGGAAACUGGGGCUAAUACCGGAUAGGAGCUCCUGCUGCAUGGUGGGGGUUGGAAAGUUUCGGCGGUUGGGGAUGGACUCGCGGCUUAUCAGCUUGUUGGUGGGGUAGUGGCUUACCAAGGCUUUGACGGGUAGCCGGCCUGAGAGGGUGACCGGCCACAUUGGGACUGAGAUACGACCCAGACUCCUACGGGAGGCAGCAGUGGGGAAUAUUGCACAAUGGGCGGAAGCCUGAUGCAGCAACGCCGCGUGCGGGAUGACGGCCUUCGGGUUGUAAACCGCUUUCGCCUGUGACGAAGCGUGAGUGACGGUAAUGGGUAAAGAAGCACCGGCUAACUACGUG
RNAcentral lists this ribosomal RNA (468 nucleotides) under uncultured bacterium. RNAcentral describes it as "partial 16S ribosomal RNA". It matches the Rfam family "Bacterial small subunit ribosomal RNA", at positions 28 to 507 of the family's 1533-position model. The record is from RNAcentral.